CUGCAUUCACUACACUAAGACACACUCUGCAUCCGCUACACUAACACACACUCUGCAUCCGCUACACAUUAACACACACUCUGCAUCCGCCACACACUAACACACACUCUGCAUCCGCUACACACUAACCCACUCUCUGCAUUCACUACACAUUAACACACUCUGCAUUCACUACACUAACACACACACUCUGCAUCCACUACACACUAACACACUCUCUGCAUUCACUACACUAACACACACUCUGCAUCCGCUACACACUAACACAC
Molecule: non-coding RNA, 269 nt
Organism: Pelobates cultripes (western spadefoot toad)
Lineage: Eukaryota; Metazoa; Chordata; Amphibia; Anura; Pelobatidae
Source: the annotation of a GenBank genome assembly